GGGGGCGAAACGGCUUCGACGGGAAUACAGGGCCGAAGAUGCGUGUCGAGGACCAUUUCCUCGUAAAAAAAUGGAACUAAACUUAACUGCUGAUCACGAAUUAGCGUUAGCUGCUUAAUAAAAUAAGCAGCCGUUCCCUUUGCUGAUGCCUGUGCGGUGAAUGUGGAGCGUCGACUAAUAGGCUAGCCGAUCACUCUCGUCCAAAGGUGGUUGGUGAAUUCACUGGACUAGUAGUCCAGUAGUCUUGCUGGUUCUUAAUGCUGGGCUGCGAAAAAACGAGGAACCGGAUACACACGUAGAUUUUUCUCGCUGAGUAUUUUCGGACGCGGGUUCGACUCCCGCCGCCUCCACAC
RNAcentral lists this transfer-messenger RNA (353 nucleotides) under Terriglobia. RNAcentral's name for it is "QHZQ01 sp003224715 Standard tmRNA". It matches the Rfam family "transfer-messenger RNA". From Rfam's summary of the family: Bacterial tmRNA, also known as 10Sa RNA or SsrA, is named for its dual tRNA and mRNA-like properties. Lineage: Bacteria; Pseudomonadati; Acidobacteriota. The record is from RNAcentral. RNAcentral also lists the same sequence under 1 other name.